GUCGUCUUCGCCUUCGUCCAAGGUACCUCAUAAGCAAAAAACAAGUAACGAGCUGGACUUGGAAAGGCGGCACGGGGAAGGCGAAAUUUUCUCCAUCGAAGGGAGGAGAGAAAGAGAACGGUGAGAAGAGGGAGAUCGUCGGAGAGUCGCGCGGCCGCCGACUUGUGCACACGCCUCUCUCGCUUCGCUUGUGCUUACUUUCACCGGCUUGAAAAAAACGUAGCGCGGAGGAAGUCGGUUCCCACGGCGCGGCGUCUCCGGCCAGUCAGCCUCGCAUAUAAACACCGGCGUUUGUUCGUUCGAUGGUAUCGGAGAACACGAGAGGUAACAGCAGCAGCACCAGCAAGCAGAGACUACCAGUAGCACCAACAGCAGGAGCCCCGUUUGCUGCUGGUGCCAUAGCGAAAACGGAUAACAGAAACCAUCCUGUAUACCAGCCCAACGGAAUAGAUUCAUUAUGCUCGUGACCAAUGCAGCUAUGUUUGCUAGUUCGAAAACAACUAUUUCUCUCGGCAAUCCUUCUAUUUUACUCUUCCCCCCGAUCCACCCACUGCACCACCCUAUUUUCAGUUAUACGAGAACGAGUUACUGGAAAGCUCUUUCCCCAUAGCUUUCCUAGAGAUCAAAGCAAAGAGAAGCUAAGAUAGUUAGAUAAAUAGAUAGAUGGAUAGAUAGAUGGAUGGAUGGACGGAUGGACAGAUGGACGGAUGGAUAAAUGGAUAAAUGGAUGGAUGGAUGGAUGGUUAGAUAGAUAGUAGAUAGAUAGAUAGUUAGAUAGAUAGAUAGAUAGAUCGAUCGAUCGAUCGUUCCGUUUACCUUUGAGUAGGUGUUGACUUCUGUAAAUUGUAUUGAACAACUUUUGAUUUAUCUAUCAUGUUUUCUUCUUUCUCUUUUUUCUUUUUCUUUUCUCUUAAAUACUAAUAUCUACUUUGUCUUCUAGUACCUGAGCGAAUCUAUAAAUUGAUAUAAUGUACAAAUCGAUAAACAAAUAGAUAGAUCGAGAUUGAUAAUCGUAUUUAUUCUGAUAUACAAUAUUAACGGAUAGAUAAAUCUAUGUGAUCAUAUUUAAUACAAUAAUUUACAUUAAUAAUUUAUUAUUUUAAUAUUCUCUAUCUACCCCACAUACCUACCUGCAUUGUAUACCCUACAUAUUUUAGUUCGAAAUUAGUUAAUAUAGAAGUAACGUUAAUAAUUUCACGGAAUUAGAUAGGAUGAUA
This is a long non-coding RNA of Vespa crabro (European hornet), 1217 nucleotides long. RefSeq lists it as uncharacterized. The record is from RefSeq and is a predicted model, not a curated record. Lineage: Eukaryota; Metazoa; Arthropoda; Insecta; Hymenoptera; Vespidae. The transcript has 3 exons.